Non-coding RNA from Trichonephila clavipes, 73 nucleotides. NCBI's taxonomy places the organism in Eukaryota, Metazoa, Arthropoda, Arachnida, Araneae, Nephilidae. The record is from the annotation of a GenBank genome assembly.
GGGGGCGUAGCUCAGAUAGUAGAGCAUUCGCUUGGCAGGUGAGAGGUACCGGGAUCGAUAUCCCGCGCCUCCA